RNAcentral lists this ribosomal RNA (465 nucleotides) under uncultured bacterium. RNAcentral's name for it is "partial 16S ribosomal RNA". It matches the Rfam family "Bacterial small subunit ribosomal RNA", at positions 28 to 507 of the family's 1533-position model. The record is from RNAcentral.
GACGAACGCUGGCGGCGUGCUUAACACAUGCAAGUCGAACGGAAAGGCCCUGCUUGCAGGGUACUCGAGUGGCGAACGGGUGAGUAACACGUGAGUGAUCUGCCCUGCACUUCGGGAUAAGCCUGGGAAACUGGGUCUAAUACCGGAUAGGAGCCAUUUUUAGUGUGAUGGUUGGAAAGUUUUUUCGGUGUAGGAUGAGCUCGCGGCCUAUCAGCUUGUUGGUGGGGUAAUGGCCUACCAAGGCGGCGACGGGUAGCCGGCCUGAGAGGGUGGACGGCCACAUUGGGACUGAGAUACGGCCCAGACUCCUACGGGAGGCAGCAGUGGGGAAUAUUGCACAAUGGGCGCAAGCCUGAUGCAGCGACGCCGCGUGGGGGAUGACGGCCUUCGGGUUGUAAACUCCUUUCGCUAGGGACGAAGCUUUUUGUGACGGUACCUAGAGAAGAAGCACCGGCUAACUACGUG